Molecule: RNA transcript, 2465 nt
Organism: Triticum dicoccoides
Lineage: Eukaryota; Viridiplantae; Streptophyta; Magnoliopsida; Poales; Poaceae
Gene name: F-box only protein 7-like
Exons: 3
Source: RefSeq, a predicted model, not a curated record
CCCUCUCCUACCUCCACCGCUCAGAGUCCAGAACCCUCCUGCUCCUCCUCCGGCGGCGACAGCAGCGGGCGGCGGGGAUGAGCACGUGGAGCUAAGUCGUCACGGCGCACUAGCCGCCCCUGCGUCGGCAACUUCACCAGCCCUCACUAGCUCGACCUCGCCGUGGCGUACUCACCCGCACAACCCCUCUCUCCGCUCCCUCCCUCGAAUCCCCAGUCUAGUAGGGUUCAGCUCCCACCCGGAUCCGCGUAUUAAUUCCUGCCAUACUCACCUUGGCCUCCUUUCUGCGUUCGAAUUCCCGGGGCCCUAGGGUUUUGCUCCCAGCUAGAGGCGGGCGCCUGAUUCAUUCCUCUCCGGCGAGUUGUUUUUUCUGAUUGGCUUUCUGGGAGGAUCUGAGGUCAUGAGUGCAGGUGCACAGCACUACUGCAUACAGUAUUUCUCUCGGUAAUCAGUAUCCUUCUGAAAGUUCUUCUGUAGUCCGAUUCCACCUUCCAGUCUGGUUCGGAGCUAUAUAUAUAUAGGACUCCUCAAUUGAACUCUGCGAAAAUCGAUGGAGAAAGCUUCUGUUUCGGAUGAUUCUCCAGAUUCGAGCGCCGAUUGCGAUUGGUCCCAGCUUCAGACUGAUCUGCUCCUCCAGAUCUUUGGCAUUCUUGAGAUCCCUGAUCUCUUCAGCUCAGGUGUGGUCUGUCGAUCCUGGCACCUCAUUUAUCUGGAGGCCCGCCGUCUCCGGCGGUGCUCGCCGAACCAGAGCCCCUGCCUUGUUUACUCACCCGGCAACCGUGACGCUAACACGGUCACCCUGCAUAACAUGUCCACCAACAAGCUUUACCACGUCACUCUAUCGGAGCCUGCCUUCUGCACACGCCACGUCAUGGGCUCCUCCUACGGCUGGCUUAUCACUGCGGAUGAGCGGUCGAAUCUCAUACUAGUCAACCCUGUAACCAGAGCUCAGAUAACUAUGCCUCCCCCUGAAACCAUGAACAAUGUUAGACUGCGCUACACUGAAGAGGGCGUGCUAGAUGGAUACGAUGUUCUUUACAUGGAUCUCUUCUCUCGGGAUUUUGACAAUGAAAUGGAGCCGUACCAUCUUACACUUGAAGAAGCCCGCUUCUACCUCUAUGCGAGGGUCGUUCUUUCUUGUGAUCCCUCCCAUGGAAACUGCACAGUUCUCGUAGUACAAUUGCCAAAGGAUCAACUCUCUUAUACUAGGGUUGGGGACACCAAAUGGACCUGGAUUGAUGCAAAUCCAAAUUGUAGGGCUUAUCAAGAUAUACUUUAUAACAGUAAUGAUGGUUUGUUUUAUGGUGUUCGUGGUAGGGGUCAGGUUGAUACUAUUAAUCUUAAUGGACCUUCCGCUGAAGUGAAAGUUAUUUUGAAGCCGAUCAUAUCCUAUCAAGCGCAUAGUAGAUAUAUUGUUCAAGCACCAUGGGGAGAUUUUUUCCAGAUAUGGAGACAUGAUAAAUAUAAUAAGGAGAAUGGGAGAAAGGACCGGGUUGCAGACAAGUUUUUCGUGUACAAGAUUGAUUUUGUUGAACAAAAGCUCGUCCAAACAAAUAACAUCCAAGAUCAUGCAAUGUUCAUUGGUUACAACAGUUCAUUCAUGCUUCCAGUGAAAGACUUCUCUACGUUGAUUCCCAACAGCAUCUACCACACAGAUGACUUGCUGCAUUAUAUUUUCUGUCACAGAUUUGGUCUUAGGCAGGCCGUUGUCUUUAAUAUGAAAGAUAGCAGUUUCAUUGAGUUAUCGCCCCCUAGUUCAGAUUCAAGAUUAAACUGGCCACCCUCGGUUUGGAUUCAACCAUCACUUACUUGAGAUUAUUCUUGCAAAUAUCCAGUGAAUGGAACACUGUUUAUCAAGGCCUUCAAAUAUAGAGGCCCUACUUGGAAUUAGCUGCCUAAAUGGCACACAACUGACUCAUGCCUAUUUUAAGGUCCUGCCAGUAAUAAACCAGGCCUGUUUUCAAGGCACCAGAGCAUUCACAUCUUAAGGUUCACAUCUUGGAAAACAAACUUAUCUUGAGAAGGUGCAUCCCUUGGUCAUCACAACAGUUCAAAUAACAAGGAUAGAGCCUCUGCUGCGUCUAUUGUUUUAGUUGGUUCAAGUGAGGAACUCGGGAUAUCAAUAACUGUUCGUCAGGCAAGUGUAAGGAAACUUUUCGUUUGGUGUACCACCCAUGCCGAUGAAUAUCUUUAGUUUAUGCAGACAGUUUGAUCACUACUAGUCCACUGUUUCAGCAAAGGUUUAUUGUUGAUGGAAUUGAAACUUUGGUCAGGAUAGGUAUCCCAGUUAACGCUGCUAUCUCCUUGUGAUGGAACUGUUUGUUCUUUCGUCAUUAUAGAUGGACUUAUUGGAGAAAAUUUUGCAUUCAAGCAAAUCUUUCCUUUGCUCAGGAUUCUUGUUUAUAAUCUCAUGUAUCGAUUCCUCCAAGAUGAGUAAUCCAGAGCGAUGACAUAGUUGGAACUUC